AUCUUCCGCAAUGGACGAAAGUCUGACGGAGCAACGCCGCGUGAGUGAUGAAGGUUUUCGGAUCGUAAAACUCUGUUGUUAGGGAAGAACAAGUAUCGGAGUCACUGCCGGUACCUUGACGUUACCUGACGAGAAAGCCACGGCUAACUACGUGCAAGCAGCCGCGGUAAUCCGUAGGGGGCAAGCGUUGUCCGGAAUUAUUCGGCGUAAAUGGUGCGUAGGCGGCCUUUUAAGUCAGAUGUGGAAUAUUAGGGCUCAACCCUAAUCGUGCAUUUGAAACUGGAGGGCUUGAGUAUCGGAGAGGGUAGUGGAAUUCCCAGUGUAGCGGUGGAAUGCGUAGAUAUUGGGAGGAACACCAGUGGCGAAGGCGACUACCUGGACGAAAACUGACGCUGAGGCACGAAAGCUAGGGGAGCAAACA
This 421-nucleotide ribosomal RNA is filed under the name uncultured bacterium. RNAcentral describes it as "partial 16S ribosomal RNA". It matches the Rfam family "Bacterial small subunit ribosomal RNA", at positions 361 to 774 of the family's 1533-position model. The record is from RNAcentral.